AAGUCGUAACAAGGUUUCCGUAGGUGAACCUGCGGAAGGAUCAUUAUCGAGUUUUGAACGGGUUGUAGCUGGCCUCAAUACGGGGCAUGUGCACGCCUGGCUCAUCCACUCCUUAACCUCUGUGCACUUUUUGUAGGCUCUGGUUGAAAGGCGUUGCUUCACUUCGGUGUUGUAAUCGCUGGAAGACCUGGUCUAUGUUUAUUACAAACGCUUCAGUUAUAGAAUGUUUAUCUGCGUAUAACGCAUUUAUAUACAACUUUCAGCAACGGAUCUCUUGGCUCUC
This 283-nucleotide unclassified non-coding RNA is filed under the name Phlebiopsis crassa. RNAcentral's name for it is "partial internal transcribed spacer region". The stretch from base 1 to 46 matches the Rfam family "Eukaryotic small subunit ribosomal RNA", at positions 1786 to 1831 of the family's 1831-position model. Lineage: Eukaryota; Fungi; Basidiomycota; Agaricomycetes; Polyporales; Phanerochaetaceae. The record is from RNAcentral.